Molecule: ribosomal RNA, 468 nt
Filed under: uncultured bacterium
Lineage: Bacteria
Description: partial 16S ribosomal RNA
Rfam family: Bacterial small subunit ribosomal RNA
Source: RNAcentral
GACGAACGCUGGCGGCGUGCUUAACACAUGCAAGUCGAACGGAAAGGCCCUGCUUUUGUGGGGUGCUCGAGUGGCGAACGGGUGAGUAACACGUGAGUAACCUGCCCUUGACUUUGGGAUAACUUCAGGAAACUGGGGCUAAUACCGGAUAGGAGCUCCUGCUGCAUGGGGGGGGUUGGAAAGUUUCGGCGGUUGGGGAUGGACUCGCGGCUUAUCAGCUUGUUGGUGGGGUAGUGGCUUACCAAGGCUGUGACGGGUAGCCGGCCUGAGAGGGUGAACGGGCACAUUGGGACUGAGAGAGGGACCAGAAGCCUAUGGGAGGCAGCAGGGGGGAAUAUUGCACAAUGGGCGGAAGUCUGAUGCAGCAACGCCCCGUGCGGGAUGACGGCCUUCGGGUUGUAAACCGCUUUCGCCUGUGACGAAGAGUGAGUGACGGUAAUGGGUAAAGAAGCAACGGCUAACUACGUG